UAUGCCCCUGCUCCUUGCACACACCGCCCGUCAAGCCAUGGAAGCCGGGUGUACCUAAAGUCGGUAACCGUAAGGAGCCGCCUAGGGUAAAACUGGUGACUGGGGCU
This 107-nucleotide ribosomal RNA is filed under the name uncultured bacterium. Its description in RNAcentral is "partial 16S ribosomal RNA". It matches the Rfam family "Bacterial small subunit ribosomal RNA", at positions 1367 to 1482 of the family's 1533-position model. The record is from RNAcentral.